This 497-nucleotide ribosomal RNA is filed under the name uncultured bacterium. RNAcentral's name for it is "partial 16S ribosomal RNA". It matches the Rfam family "Bacterial small subunit ribosomal RNA", at positions 28 to 507 of the family's 1533-position model. The record is from RNAcentral.
GAUGAACGCUGGCGGCGUGCCUAAUACAUGCAAGUCGAGCGAACAGACGAGGAGCUUGCUCCUCUGACGUUAGCGGCGGACGGGUUAGUAACACGUGGAUAACCUACCUAUAAGACUGGGAUAACUUCGGGAAACCGGAGCUAAUACCGGAUAAUAUAUUGAACCGCAUGGUUCAAUAGUGAAAGACGGUUUUGCUGUCACUUAUAGAUGGAUCCGCGCCGCAUUAGCUAGUUGGUAAGGUAACGGCUUACCAAGGCGACGAUGCGUAGCCGACCUGAGAGGGUGAUCGGCCACACUGGAACUGAGACACGGUCCAGACUCCUACGGGAGGCAGCAGUAGGGAAUCUUCCGCAAUGGGCGAAAGCCUGACGGAGCAACGCCGCGUGAGUGAUGAAGGUCUUCGGAUCGUAAAACUCUGUUAUUAGGGAAGAACAAAUGUGUAAGUAACUAUGCACGUCUUGACGGUACCUAAUCAGAAAGCCACGGCUAACUACGUG